This 301-nucleotide ribosomal RNA is filed under the name uncultured bacterium. RNAcentral describes it as "partial 16S ribosomal RNA". It matches the Rfam family "Bacterial small subunit ribosomal RNA", at positions 509 to 807 of the family's 1533-position model. The record is from RNAcentral.
CAGCCGCCACGGUAAUACGUAGGGUGCAAGCGUUAAUCGGAAUUACUGGGCGUAAAGCGUGCGUAGGCGGUUCGUUAAGUCUGUUGUGAAAGCCCCGGGCUCAACCUGGGAAUGGCAAUGGAUACUGGCGAGCUAGAGUGUGUCAGAGGAUGGUGGAAUUCCCGGUGUAGCGGUGAAAUGCGUAGAGAUCGGAAGGAACAUCUGUGGCGAAGGCGACUAUCUGGGCCAACACUGACACUGAGGCACGAAAGCGUGGGGAGCAAACAGGAUUAGAUACCCCUGUAGUCCCUGUCUCUUAUAC